RNAcentral lists this long non-coding RNA (375 nucleotides) under Mytilus galloprovincialis (Mediterranean mussel). Lineage: Eukaryota; Metazoa; Mollusca; Bivalvia; Mytilida; Mytilidae. The record is from RNAcentral.
CAAAUAUUUCAUGCAUAUUCAGGACGAGAACAAGUUCACAAUAAAUACAAUAGGUAGGUUGAUACAAUAGAGGCCAUCUGGGAUGAUGGUCGGGGAAAUUUUGAUUGCCACUGGAAAAUGAGGGUAUAUUGGAUAGGGACAGAAAUUUAGCCUUGCAACAGGCCACCUACGGACCCCUCAAAGAGUUGUUGCAAGGGUUCUUAACGUGCAAAGAGCGUGGCACUCACUUUACACGAGACAUCGGAUUUAACGUCCCCUUCUGACCGGACGUGACUGCGAACUUGAUACAUCCCGCACAGCCAAACGGACGCCCCACUUCGGCAAGCGUUUUACUGCCGGUCGGGAGAAGACCAAGUGACCAUAUUUCUAUACCCC